This 130-nucleotide small nucleolar RNA is filed under the name Chinchilla lanigera (long-tailed chinchilla). RNAcentral's name for it is "Small nucleolar RNA SNORA40 (ENSCLAG00000018614.1)". It matches the Rfam family "Small nucleolar RNA SNORA40". From Rfam's summary of the family: The snoRNA ACA 40 belongs to the H/ACA family of snoRNAs and guides the pseudouridylation of 28S rRNA subunit at position U4565. NB This family has a high threshold value to exclude a large number of closely related sequences that do not appear to have conserved H and ACA boxes, and may be pseudogenes. The record is from Rfam by way of RNAcentral. Lineage: Eukaryota; Metazoa; Chordata; Mammalia; Rodentia; Chinchillidae.
GGCACUUGUCUAUCUGUUUUAGUCUAACUUGUGGACUAAGACUUAUGGACAGAUGCAAAAAAAAUAAACCCUUUUGUAAUCUAGCAUUCAUUGGUCAGUGUGAGUUUUGAUAUGUAUAAGAAGAAAUAUG